RNAcentral lists this ribosomal RNA (1532 nucleotides) under Escherichia coli. RNAcentral describes it as "partial 23S ribosomal RNA". It matches the Rfam family "Bacterial large subunit ribosomal RNA", at positions 1 to 1571 of the family's 2925-position model. The record is from RNAcentral. Lineage: Bacteria; Pseudomonadati; Pseudomonadota; Gammaproteobacteria; Enterobacterales; Enterobacteriaceae.
UUGUGAGGUUAAGCGACUAAGCGUACACGGUGGAUGCCCUGGCAGUCAGAGGCGAUGAAGGACGUGCUAAUCUGCGAUAAGCGUCGGUGAGGUGAUAUGAACCGUUAUAACCGGCGAUUUCCGAAUGGGGAAACCCAGUGUGUUUCGACACACUAUCAUUAACUGAAUCCAUAGGUUAAUGAGGCGAACCGGGGGAACUGAAACAUCUAAGUACCCCGAGGAAAAGAAAUCAACCGAGAUUCCCCCAGUAGCGGCGAGCGAACGGGGAGGAGCCCAGAGCCUGAAUCAGUGUGUGUGUUAGUGGAAGCGUCUGGAAAGGCGCGCGAUACAGGGUGACAGCCCCGUACACAAAAAUGCACAUAUUGUGAGCUCGAUGAGUAGGGCGGGACACGUGGUAUCCUGUCUGAAUAUGGGGGGACCAUCCUCCAAGGCUAAAUACUCCUGACUGACCGAUAGUGAACCAGUACCGUGAGGGAAAGGCGAAAAGAACCCCGGCGAGGGGAGUGAAAAAGAACCUGAAACCGUGUACGUACAAGCAGUGGGAGCCUCUUAAUGGGGUGACUGCGUACCUUUUGUAUAAUGGGUCAGCGACUUAUAUUCUGUAGCAAGGUUAACCGAAUAGGGGAGCCGAAGGGAAACCGAGUCUUAACUGGGCGUUAAGUUGCAGGGUAUAGACCCGAAACCCGGUGAUCUAGCCAUGGGCAGGUUGAAGGUUGGGUAACACUAACUGGAGGACCGAACCGACUAAUGUUGAAAAAUUAGCGGAUGACUUGUGGCUGGGGGUGAAAGGCCAAUCAAACCGGGAGAUAGCUGGUUCUCCCCGAAAGCUAUUUAGGUAGCGCCUCGUGAAUUCAUCUCCGGGGGUAGAGCACUGUUUCGGCAAGGGGGUCAUCCCGACUUACCAACCCGAUGCAAACUGCGAAUACCGGAGAAUGUUAUCACGGGAGACACACGGCGGGUGCUAACGUCCGUCGUGAAGAGGGAAACAACCCAGACCGCCAGCUAAGGUCCCAAAGUCAUGGUUAAGUGGGAAACGAUGUGGGAAGGCCCAGACAGCCAGGAUGUUGGCUUAGAAGCAGCCAUCAUUUAAAGAAAGCGUAAUAGCUCACUGGUCGAGUCGGCCUGCGCGGAAGAUGUAACGGGGCUAAACCAUGCACCGAAGCUGCGGCAGCGACGCUUAUGCGUUGUUGGGUAGGGGAGCGUUCUGUAAGCCUGUGAAGGUGGCCUGUGAGGGUUGCUGGAGGUAUCAGAAGUGCGAAUGCUGACAUAAGUAACGAUAAAGCGGGUGAAAAGCCCGCUCGCCGGAAGACCAAGGGUUCCUGUCCAACGUUAAUCGGGGCAGGGUGAGUCGACCCCUAAGGCGAGGCCGAAAGGCGUAGUCGAUGGGAAACAGGUUAAUAUUCCUGUACUUGGUGUUACUGCGAAGGGGGGACGGAGAAGGCUAUGUUGGCCGGGCGACGGUUGUCCCGGUUUAAGCGUGUAGGCUGGUUUUCCAGGCAAAUCCGGAAAAUCAAGGCUGAGGCGUGAUGACG